Molecule: ribosomal RNA, 849 nt
Filed under: Pristimantis parectatus
Lineage: Eukaryota; Metazoa; Chordata; Amphibia; Anura; Strabomantidae
Description: partial 16S ribosomal RNA
Rfam family: Bacterial large subunit ribosomal RNA
Source: RNAcentral
CCCCAUAUUGACCCCUUCAACUGUACUGAGAACUUCUAUACCCUAUAGAACCUUUUAUGCUAAAACUAGUAACAAGAGUUAACCCUCUCCACAAUGCAAGUAUAAGCCAGCAAGAACCCGUCACUGGCAACUGACAGACCUAAACAAAAGUAGCAACUUAUACUAGAAAAAUCUACUUUACCUACUGUUAACCUAACACCAGAGCAUUUCAAGAAAGAUUAAAAGAAAAAGAAGGAACUCGGCAAACAUUAGCCCCGCCUGUUUACCAAAAACAUCGCCUCUUGCCCAUAUAAGAGGUCCAGCCUGCCCAGUGACUCUUGUUCAACGGCCGCGGUAUCCUAACCGUGCGAAGGUAGCGUAAUCACUUGUCUUCUAAAUAAAGACCAGUAUGAAAGGCAUCACGAGGACUAAACUGUCUCCUUUUUCUAAUCAGUGAACCUAAUCUCCCCGUGAAGAAGCGGGGGUUCUUAUAUAAGACGAGAAGACCCUAUGGAGCUUUAAACAUCACAACACCUGCCUCACAUUUUUAUCUACUCAGGUAUACCCCCUCACAGCACGCUGAUUGUAUGUUUUUGGUUGGGGUGACCGCGGAGAAAAACUAAUCCUCCGCAAUGAAAGGGACCUUCCCUAAACAAUAAGCCACAACUUUAUGUAUCCACAAAUUGACAUUCAUUGACCCAAUAUAUUUGAUUAACGAACCAAGUUACCCUAGGGAUAACAGCGCAAUCCACUUUAAGAGCCCCUAUCGACAAGUGGGCUUACGACCUCGAUGUUGGAUCGGGGUAUCCUAGUGGUGCAGCCGCUACUAAAGGUUCGUUUGUUCAACGAUUAAAACCCUACGUGAUCUGA